GAUGAACGCUGGCGGCGUGCCUAACACAUGCAAGUCGAACGGAGUUACGAGAGCUUGCUUUGGUAACUUAGUGGCGGACGGGUGAGUAAUGUAUGAGCAACCUGCCUUUCAGAGGGGGACAACAGUUGGAAACGACUGCUAAUACCGCAUAAUGUACGUUGGGGGCAUCUCCGAUGUACCAAAGGAGCAAUCCGCUGAAAGAUGGGCUCAUAUCUGAUUAGUUAGUUGGCAGGGUAACGGCCUACCAAGACUGCGAUCAGUAGCCGGACUGAGAGGUUGAACGGCCACAUUGGGACUGAGAUACGGCCCAGACUCCUACGGGAGGCAGCAGUGGGGAAUAUUGGGCAAUGGGCGAAAGCCUGACCCAGCAACGCCGCGUGAAGGAAGAAGGUCUUCGGAUUGUAAACUUCUUUUAUGAGGGACGAAGGACGUGACGGUACCUCAUGAAUAAGCCACGGCUAACUAC
RNAcentral lists this ribosomal RNA (466 nucleotides) under uncultured bacterium. RNAcentral's name for it is "bacterial SSU rRNA". It matches the Rfam family "Bacterial small subunit ribosomal RNA", at positions 28 to 504 of the family's 1533-position model. The record is from RNAcentral.